Molecule: long non-coding RNA, 1257 nt
Organism: Coregonus clupeaformis (lake whitefish)
Lineage: Eukaryota; Metazoa; Chordata; Actinopteri; Salmoniformes; Salmonidae
Exons: 3
Source: RefSeq, a predicted model, not a curated record
CUUUUAUUUUCAUCAAUCCAUUUGGCUGGCAGUGGCAAAUUGUACUGCUCUUUUGGUCAGUGAGUGACAACACUAAUGUUUACCAAAUAAGUGAUUAGCAGCUAAAUCGAGAAUUAAAUAAUUGUGCGUUUUUGCAUCUUUUACUGGAUCAACAGAUUGAUGUUUACAGACUGGGCACGUGCAGCUAAUCCUAACUGGUCGAGGUAGGGUACGGGCUCGAGACGAGGGACUGUCCGUUUACUAGCCUAACUAGCCAGCAGCAUUUUUCUAGAGAUUUAGCUAGCUAACGUUAGCUUCGAGUUAUUGUUGAUAAACAGGCAUAGAAAUAAGAUGCCAGGUGCUCAGUUCAAGGCAGUUUACGUGCCAAGUUUUGGAUCUCAAUCCUCACGAUGUAGUCAAAAAGAUGGACAGCAAACGAAAAAGUACUUGAUCGAGUUGUCCUGCUCACAGAGAAGACACGAUGCGUUGUCAACGAAAAAUAAGAUCAAAUUAACCAAGUGUAAGCCUGCACUGUUCAAGAAGAAACGAAAGGAGGAGAGAAGGUCGAUGCCUCCACGACGACCCGUGAUAGACAGAUUGACAGCUGUCCGAAGUCAAGGUGGAGGAGAGCGAUCACAACAUCAGAAACGGGGAAGUCCUGAUGUUGGGCAAAAAUCCUCGUUCCUUCCUUGUUCCUCCAUGUCCAAUACAGGCACUGCUCAGAGCAUGAUGAGUGAAGACAUCUUCACCUUCUACCAGAGAGACAAGCACACAUCAACCAACCAAACCCAGUGGGCAGCCAGACAGGCUGUGUUGAGGACCAUCGGUAGGAUGCUGCAGGAGAACAGGAGCAUCAGAGAGAGACUGGUCUCCCUCAGCCAGAGCAGUCAGGUUAUAAAUUAAACUCAGACCGAAGACUAGAUUACAAUCUGGGAUUAAUACAUAGAUUAUGGAACAAAUCUUUCCCUCUCAAACUCAGGAAUGGAAACGUUUUCUUUGUUUUGCCCAAGUUUAUGGACUACCUUUAAAAUGUGCUGAUUUGAGAUGGAAUGAAGAUUAAGUUAUUUAUGUUACCUGUAACUUUACCUGUACUGUACAUCUCCAGCAAUCUGUUCCUUUAGUUUCCUCUUUAAUAGACUGGUUGAAGAAAUUGACUAUAGGUUGGUUUUGAUGGGGAACACACAUAUUUUGACUGUUGACACAGAUUUUGCCUGUUGUCACAGAUUUUGACUGUUGUCAUGGGGAAAGAAGAGUUCUGAAUUAAAACCACGUCUUGAG